Molecule: long non-coding RNA, 349 nt
Organism: Vidua macroura (Pin-tailed whydah)
Lineage: Eukaryota; Metazoa; Chordata; Aves; Passeriformes; Viduidae
Exons: 3
Source: RefSeq, a predicted model, not a curated record
CACUGAAAUGUUUUAAGUCAGUCAACCAACUCUGGUCUUCCACUGAAGAGGAGCAGUGCCAGAUUGGCUAAUUAACAAUAGGCCACAGUUUCAAAAGGACUUAAAAAACAUAGCAACAACACAUUCCAACACUUCCCCCUGAUUAUGGGAAAGCACCCUGCCCUCCAAACCUAGAUGACACAAAGUUCUCCAUUACAUUGUGCUUCAAAUCUGCAUUUUCCAGUGCCUGGAAAAGACUUCUUCUCAGCCCACGCUGUAGCCUUCUGGAGUAAAGCUUUUUGUAUGCAGUGAGGCGUGCAUCAUGCUUUGGCCAUAACUGGAAUGUGCACAGCUUUGUGAAGUUUCUCAG